CAUGCAAGUCGAGCGGAUGACGGGAGCUUGCUCCUUGAUUCAGCGGCGGACGGGUGAGUAAUGCCUAGGAAUCUGCCUGGUAGUGGGGGACAACGUUUCGAAAGGAACGCUAAUACCGCAUACGUCCUACGGGAGAAAGCAGGGGACCUUCGGGCCUUGCGCUAUCAGAUGAGCCUAGGUCGGAUUAGCUAGUUGGUGGGGUAAUGGCUCACCAAGGCGACGAUCCGUAACUGGUCUGAGAGGAUGAUCAGUCACACUGGAACUGAGACACGGUCCAGACUCCUACGGGAGGCAGCAGUGGGGAAUAUUGGACAAUGGGCGAAAGCCUGAUCCAGCCAUGCCGCGUGUGUGAAGAAGGUCUUCGGAUUGUAAAGCACUUUAAGUUGGGAGGA
Molecule: ribosomal RNA, 392 nt
Filed under: uncultured Pseudomonas sp.
Lineage: Bacteria; Pseudomonadati; Pseudomonadota; Gammaproteobacteria; Pseudomonadales; Pseudomonadaceae
Description: bacterial SSU rRNA
Rfam family: Bacterial small subunit ribosomal RNA
Source: RNAcentral